GACAGAGGGUGCAAACGUUGUUCGGAAUUACUGGGCGUAAAGCGCGUGUAGGCGGCAGGGUAUGUCGGAUGUGAAAUCCCGUGGCUCAACCACGGAAGUGCACCCGAAACUACCCAGCUUGAGCCUCGGAGAGGAAGGCGGAAUGCUUGGUGUAGAGGUGAAAUUCGUAGAUAUCAAGCGGAACACCGGUGGCGAAGGCGGCCUUCUGGACGAUGACUGACGCUGAGACGCGAAAGCGUGGGGAGCAAACAGG
This 253-nucleotide ribosomal RNA is filed under the name uncultured bacterium. Its description in RNAcentral is "partial 16S ribosomal RNA". It matches the Rfam family "Bacterial small subunit ribosomal RNA", at positions 524 to 776 of the family's 1533-position model. The record is from RNAcentral.